This 297-nucleotide ribosomal RNA is filed under the name uncultured bacterium. RNAcentral describes it as "partial 16S ribosomal RNA". It matches the Rfam family "Bacterial small subunit ribosomal RNA", at positions 29 to 353 of the family's 1533-position model. The record is from RNAcentral.
AACGAACGCUGGCGGCAUGCCUAACACAUGCAAGUCGAACGAGACCUUCGGGUCUAGUGGCGCACGGGUGCGUAACGCGUGGGAAUCUGCCCUUUGCUUCGGAAUAACAGUUAGAAAUGACUGCUAAUACCGGAUGAUGUCUUCGGACCAAAGAUUUUAUCGGGCAAAGGAUGAGCCCGCGUAGGAUUAGGUAGUUGGUGGGGUAAAGCCUACCAAGCCGACGAUCCUUAGCUGGUCUGAGAGGAUGAUCAGCCACACUGGGACUGAGACACGGCCCAGACUCCUACGGAGGCAGCA